GCCCCCGUCGCCCAAUUGGCAGAGGCGCCUGGUUGAGGGCCAGGAAUGGUGCAGGUUCAAGUCCUGCCGGGGGUA
This 75-nucleotide transfer RNA is filed under the name Actinomadura yumaensis. Its description in RNAcentral is "tRNA-Leu". It matches the Rfam family "tRNA". Rfam says of the family: Transfer RNA (tRNA) molecules are approximately 80 nucleotides in length. Their secondary structure includes four short double-helical elements and three loops (D, anti-codon, and T loops). Further hydrogen bonds mediate the characteristic L-shaped molecular structure. tRNAs have two regions of fundamental functional importance: the anti-codon, which is responsible for specific mRNA codon recognition, and the 3' end, to which the tRNAs corresponding amino acid is attached (by aminoacyl-tRNA synthetases). tRNAs cope with the degeneracy of the genetic code in two manners: having more than one tRNA (with a specific anti-codon) for a particular amino acid; and 'wobble' base-pairing, i.e. permitting non-standard base-pairing at the 3rd anti-codon position. The record is from RNAcentral. RNAcentral also lists the same sequence under 1 other name. Lineage: Bacteria; Bacillati; Actinomycetota; Actinomycetes; Streptosporangiales; Thermomonosporaceae.